RNAcentral lists this ribosomal RNA (108 nucleotides) under Afzelia parviflora. RNAcentral describes it as "28S ribosomal RNA". It matches the Rfam family "Eukaryotic large subunit ribosomal RNA", at positions 1 to 109 of the family's 3401-position model. The record is from RNAcentral. Lineage: Eukaryota; Viridiplantae; Streptophyta; Magnoliopsida; Fabales; Fabaceae.
GACCUCAGCUUAGGCGGGGCUACCCGCUGAGUUUAAGCAUAUCAGUAAGUAGAGGAAAAGAAACUAAUGAGGAUUCCCCUAAUAACGGCGAGCAAACCGGCAAGAGCC